GAUGAACGCUGGCGGCGUGCUUAACACAUGCAAGUCGAACGGAAAGGCCCCUUUGGGGGUACUCGAGUGGCGAACGGGUGAGUAACACGUGAGUAACCGGCCCUUGACUUCGGGAUAACUUCAGGAAACUGGGGCUAAUACCGGAUAGGAAUCCUUGCUGCAGGGUGGGGGUUGGAAAGCUUCGGCGGUUUUGGAUGGACUCGCGGCUUAUCAGCUUGUUGGUGGGGUAGUGGCUUACCAAGGCUUUGACGGGUAGCCGGCCUGAGAGGGCGACCGGCCACAUUGGGACUGAGAUACGGCCCAGACUCCUACGGGAGGCAGCAGUGGGGAAUAUUGCACAAUGGGCGGAAGCCUGAUGCAGCAACGCCGCGUGCGGGAUGACGGCCUUCGGGUUGUAAACCGCUUUCAGCAGGGGCGAAGCUUGUGGUGACGGUACCUGCAGAAGAAGCACCGGCUAACUACGUG
Molecule: ribosomal RNA, 465 nt
Filed under: uncultured bacterium
Lineage: Bacteria
Description: partial 16S ribosomal RNA
Rfam family: Bacterial small subunit ribosomal RNA
Source: RNAcentral